RNAcentral lists this ribosomal RNA (253 nucleotides) under uncultured bacterium. Its description in RNAcentral is "partial 16S ribosomal RNA". It matches the Rfam family "Bacterial small subunit ribosomal RNA", at positions 524 to 776 of the family's 1533-position model. The record is from RNAcentral.
GACGAACCGUGCGAACGUUAUUCGGAAUCACUGGGCUUAAAGGGCGCGUAGGCGGGCUCACAAGUCAGGGGUGAAAGCCCACGGCCCAACCGUGGAAGUGCCUUUGAUACUGUGGGCCUCGAGGGGGGUAGGGGCGUGCGGAACUCAGGGUGGAGCGGUGAAAUGCGUAGAUAUCCUGAGGAACACCGGUGGCGAAAGCGGCGCGCUGGACCCCUUCUGACGCUGAGGCGCGAAAGCCAGGGGAGCGAACAGG